This 73-nucleotide transfer RNA is filed under the name Lachnospiraceae bacterium. Its description in RNAcentral is "tRNA-Glu". It matches the Rfam family "tRNA". From Rfam's summary of the family: Transfer RNA (tRNA) molecules are approximately 80 nucleotides in length. Their secondary structure includes four short double-helical elements and three loops (D, anti-codon, and T loops). Further hydrogen bonds mediate the characteristic L-shaped molecular structure. tRNAs have two regions of fundamental functional importance: the anti-codon, which is responsible for specific mRNA codon recognition, and the 3' end, to which the tRNAs corresponding amino acid is attached (by aminoacyl-tRNA synthetases). tRNAs cope with the degeneracy of the genetic code in two manners: having more than one tRNA (with a specific anti-codon) for a particular amino acid; and 'wobble' base-pairing, i.e. permitting non-standard base-pairing at the 3rd anti-codon position. The record is from RNAcentral. Lineage: Bacteria; Bacillati; Bacillota; Clostridia; Lachnospirales; Lachnospiraceae.
GGCUCCAUGGUCAAGAGGCUAAGACGCUGCCCUCUCAAGGCAGAAUCGCUGGGUUCAAAUCCCGCUGGAGUCA